ACGUGAAACUGCCACGAGGUUAAAGCGGAUGUACAUACGCAGCCGAACGGGGGGUCUCAUCUCCUCGAGCCUCCAGGCGCGGUCGCGUUCGGACCGUCGGCGUACGGGCUCCUCGCGGGCUCGGCUCCGUCGAAGGCCGACGCGGCUCGUUUUUUCGGACUAGGAGGACAGGGGGGUGGAUUUCCCUCCUUAGUAGGCAGUCGCGGCCGCUCGAGGGUUGUCCAAGGCUCGGUAGUCGGGAACCGUCCGGCAACUCAAAGCGCCGGCGGGGACGCUACCUUGAUUCUGGCGGACUCUCGGGCGGUGCCGUUGAGAGAGAAGGUUGCGUGGGUAGGCCUGAUAAUACGAGCCUCCCACCCCGUGCGCGGCUGUAAUUGCGAUCGUUCAUCCGUCCCGUCUUGAAACACGGACCAAGGAGUCUAACAUGUGCGCGAGUCAAAGGGUUGGCUAAACCCCAAGGCGCAACGAAAGUGAAAAAAGUUCCGAAACCCCCUUCUUCUUCUCCUCCUCCCGCCUCCCUUCUCGUCCGCGUCGUCGUCGCUUCGGCGGCGGAGUCGGGGCUCAUAGGGGCUGUUGGGUCGAUCCGCGCUCCCUCCGUGGACCGGCGCAGACCCGGGGCUCGCCGCUACCCCUUCGUACCUCCCUUCGCGGGGCUGAUUCGAGGCGGGUGGCGGGCACCUAGAGCGUACAUGCUAGUACCCGAAAGAUGGUGAUCUAUGCUUGGCCAGGAUGAAGCCAGAGGAAACUCUGGUGGAGGUCCGUAGCGAUUCUGACGUGCAAAU
This 782-nucleotide ribosomal RNA is filed under the name Bragasellus lagari. Its description in RNAcentral is "eukaryotic LSU rRNA". It matches the Rfam family "Eukaryotic large subunit ribosomal RNA", at positions 397 to 898 of the family's 3401-position model. Lineage: Eukaryota; Metazoa; Arthropoda; Malacostraca; Isopoda; Asellidae. The record is from RNAcentral.